AACAUCCUCAAGGGCUUUGCCACCUCCCUGUCCAUUGUGCUGUCCACUGUUGCCUCCAUUCGCCUCUUUGGCUUCCACCUGGACCCAUUAUUUGCCCUGGGUGCAGGGCUCGUCAUUGGUGCCGUCUACCUCUACAGCCUUCCCCGAGGUGCAGUCAAAGCCAUAGCCUCUGCCUCUGCCUCUGCCUCUGGGCCGUGCAUUCACCAGCAGCCUCCUGGGCAGCCACCACCACCGCAGCUGUCUUCCCGAGGAGACCUCAUCACGGAGCCCUUUCUGCCAAAGUUGCUCACCAAGGUGAAGGGCUCGUAGCUGCUGGAAUUGAAGACGCUGGCCUGCCUUCGUUCUCCCUUCUUGCCCUGGCCCAGCUGGGACUAAACUCUUAUCAGUAUUAGGGGUAGGGUGAGGUAGACAUGGAACUAACUCCCUGUCCCCACCAACCCUGCCCCACGUAGGGCUGACAUGACUGACUAACCUCUGUUAAUGGGCCCACCUCAACUCCUGCUAUCUUUACAGUAUUUCUUAGGUGAGUUUCUGCAAAUAAAAUGUGUUUUGCAUCUUGUGAA
RNAcentral lists this long non-coding RNA (563 nucleotides) under Rattus norvegicus (Norway rat). RNAcentral describes it as "long non-coding RNA NONRATT030880". Lineage: Eukaryota; Metazoa; Chordata; Mammalia; Rodentia; Muridae. The record is from RNAcentral.